GUGAUAUACAAUAUAUACUGCUUGUAUAAAAUUUUAUCUUACAGUUUAUUUUGUAUCUUCACAUAAAGAUUCAGAUAAAGUUUGUAGUUGGUCAACUAUUCAAAUUUGUAGAUUAAGCAUACAACCGUUCCAAUUGUAUGGCAAACUCAUAAAGAUAUAAGAAGAUGUGGUAUGAGUACCAAUGAAACAACACUACAUCAAAGUCAUAAUUUGUAAAAGUAACCAUACUGGAAUGUAUUUAGGGGCCAGCUGAAGGACACCUCCGGGUGCGGGAAUUUCAAAAAUAUGGCUGACUACAUUUUAUGCCAUUACUCUCCACUGAUGUCGUAAAGUCAAACUUCCUACUUAAUUUGGCCAGUUACCCAUCUAGAACUUGGGCAUCACUGAUGUUGCCGAAAUGCGCGUCUGACGCACAAAGUUAUGAGCCUGGUAUAUAUGAUCAGGGUUGUUUUGCAUGUAUCAUUUAAUGAAAUGAAAGUUAUGUUUGCUUUGCACCACUUGAUAUUCAAAUUUUCCUUGAAGUGCAUGUUCUCAAUUAUUAUUGUUAACUGUUAUAGGUUGCAGUGCUGUAAAUAUAGACAAUGUAAUUUUUCACAGGAAUAUUAUCUUUACGGCCAAAACUGUACCAGUAAAACUAUGAAGAUUUGUAAACAUUAUAUAUACUAGAAUAGAACGCUCAUAUGCAGUACUAUUUUUGUCAUGGGUCAAAAUAUAGGGCUAUAUUCUCAACAUUUAUCUAUACCCGAACUUCUUAUAGUUAAACUUUUACCGUUAUUCUGUACCACCCUCUCUUCACUUUGCGUCUUCCACAUAUUUUAAUUUGGCAGUAAUGCAUCUGUUUAUAUGCUAGUUUCAUUCCCAGGCAAUGUAUUUACGAGCUGAAACAUAGAAUUCAUAUCUGGGAACCAGUAGGUAAUUCGAAACAUCAUAUCUCUGAGUAUUAUAUAACACACCAAAAGAGGCGUAGUUUGUGAAUGAGCUGCGUUUACACAGUACAACCGAUGGUACAAAAACCGCUAUUAUUAUAUUAGAACAUAUGCUUUCGAUGAUCAUUCUAAUUGUUCCAUGAAAACAAAAAUUAAAAUAUAUGUUUGAAGCAAUUUUUUACCCAUGUAUACCUUUGUAUAAUGUUUUUUAUGCUAGAUAUAGUAGAUAUUAUAUAGUUACAUAAUGAAUUAAUAAAGUGUCCAGAAAAGUGC
Molecule: long non-coding RNA, 1199 nt
Filed under: Mytilus galloprovincialis (Mediterranean mussel)
Lineage: Eukaryota; Metazoa; Mollusca; Bivalvia; Mytilida; Mytilidae
Source: RNAcentral